Long non-coding RNA from Cavia porcellus (domestic guinea pig), 1801 nucleotides. The record is from Ensembl. NCBI's taxonomy places the organism in Eukaryota, Metazoa, Chordata, Mammalia, Rodentia, Caviidae.
CGGGACCAAACUCUCAAUCCGGGUCCCAUUGGUUUCUCGUUUAGGCCCCUCCUCUCGACGUCGACGCACCGCGGUCCCGCCCCCAAGAGCCGCGCCAUCCACGGGCGCUUCUCCUCUGAGUUCCGCCCUGGAAUUCAGGGUCUGGGAUUCGCUUUUGCAACAAUCCUUGGAGGUCCCGCCUCCUCUGCCUCCUUGUGAGCAACCGUCUCCAAGCAGCCGCGGCGGGCUCCGCUUCCUCGGUGCUCACGCCGCCUCGGGGCGGGGCCUCCCAGGAUGCAGCGCGCUGGCGGGAGUUUUGGAGCGACGGGACACUCCCUCGGCUUACAGCCUCUGCAACGCGGAGGCUUUUUCUGCACCGAGACAAAUGUAAGGCAGCGUCUGCACCGAGAGCAGGCUCAGCAAGACUUCACCUCUCGCUCCUGAUUCCCAGGAAAGCUGGAAGGAAACAGGCAUUCCGGGGCCGGGAAUCUGUCGUUCUGUGGAUUUUAAUCGCUUGCUGUAUUCCGGGAUUGGUGCUCUUGAAUUUUCUUCAUCACCUCAUCAUCCUUCUCUUUUGGCGUGUGGAAUGCUAGAAGAAAGGAUUAAAAGCAUCAGCUGGAAUCAGUUUGCAUUUGAAAAUUGGAUGAACACAAAAGACUUGAUACUGUGAAUGGUUAGAAAACAAACAAUGUCAUCUAAGGAACAAGAAAGACUCUUGUGUUAUAAUGGGGAAGUCCUUGUUUUUCAUUUGUCAAAAGGCAAUUUUGCAGAUAAAUGGCCUGUUAAGACAUCCAUAUUACGUGUCAGACGGAUGGUAUUUGACAGAAGAACAAAAACAUUUGUUUUGAAGUCCACUGGAUGUUUCAACGUAAAGGAAGAAAACUCUAAUUUAAAAAUUGUGUGUUGCAACUGUGUUUCAGAUUUUAGAACUAGAAUUAAUUUCCCUUACAUUUUGAUACAAAGCAAUGAAAGUAAUAAUGUUUUCAAAUAUUUUCUACUAUUUCUUCAUAGUACCAAUGAAUUUGAAAGGUGUUUGAGUUUUGAACUAGACUAUGAGUUGAAGGACAGUAUAAGGGUCCUUAAUGGCCCUUUAGUCUUAUGGCAACACAUGAAAGCAUUCUUUUGUAUCUCUUCCCAAAUUGGCAAAGUUGUUAGUGUGCCAGUUAACUUUUCUUCUAUUGAGUGGGCAGGUGAGAUUGAAAAUUUUGGUAUAGUUUUAUUGGGACUAACAGAGUAUUGUUUAUCUGAAGAAGAAUACACUCAAAAGUCUUCAGAAUCAUAUUAUGCAAUUUGGAACACCAAAUUUUGUGUAUACUCUCUUGAAAAUCAAGCAGUAUUAAGUAAUACAUAUAUUAUACCUCCAGCUUAUAGCAGUGUGGUAACUUGUGUGUAUGUCUGUUCAGCUGAGAUCACCACAAGCCAGUUAAGAAUGUCUCUGAUUGUUCUGACUCAAAAGAAUCAGCUGAUUUCAUUCCAAAAUGGAACUCCGGGAAAUGUAUGCCAGCUUCCAUUUGAAGAUCCUUUUUCUGUUCAACUUUUAGAUUCAGGUCAAGGAAACCUCUUUUUCAUUGUAUCAUUUAGGUCCAGUGAUGCUUGUGCUAUUUGGAAAAAGAACUUUCAGGUUGCUGCUAAGUGGGAAAACCUCAGCUCAGUACUGAUAGAUGACUUUAUUGGAACUGGAACUGAACAACUACUACUACUUUUUAAAGACUCCUUGAACACAGAUUGCCUGGCUUCAUUUAAAAUAACAGAUCUUGUCAAAUUAGACUAUUCAGUAAGUGUUUAUUUAUUAUAUAUUUCUUUAAGAGACACAUUAGAAAAU